CAAGACCAAAUUUUGAAAAACAUUUAAAUAUGAUAAUAAUGAAAGUAAAAUAUAAGACUCUUCAGUAGUUGCUGUGUUUGGAGAAAACAUCGAAAUAGAAGAUUUUAGGGGACGAGGUAUUGUGUGUUUUUGUUUUUAAUUCAGUUGUAUGAUGAAUGUAACAAACUAAUUAGAAGGAACUACAUAUAAAUUAGCACCAUUUUAAAAUGCCAGGCAGGUUUGAUCCCUGGGUCAGGAAGAUCCCCUGGAGAAGGAAAUGGCAACCCACUCCAGUAUUCUUGCCUGGGAAAUCCCAUGGAUGGAGAGCCUGAUGGGCUACAGUCCAUGGGGUCACAGAAGAGUCAGACAUGACUUAGAGGCUAAACAGCAACAGCUUAUUUAAACAUGGGAUGUGUUCUAAGAAGCAUUCCUGAAGUACAGAAAUAUUGUUUCUACUGAAAUAGCCUUUUUGUAAACAAAGAAUAUUUCUUGCUUCUAACUUAUAAAACCUCAGAUGGAACAUCUAGACAGAACCAAAUACAGGUUGGUGGUUAAAACUAUGAGUAUAGCGUUUUACUAUUCUGUUUUGCUCACCCUUGAGUUUGAAAAGGUGGAGUGAAGGUCAAACCAGUAACACUAGGGGGUUCAUGGAUAGCAUACAAUUUGGCUGCAUUGCUCCUUAGCAUACAUCAACAUGUCCAUAUGGACAAACCCAGAAGCUUGAGACUUCGCUGGUCCCAUGUUCUGUUCUCACCGUCAUCCCCAAAGACAGAACCUGGGAAACAACUGGGGAACCACCCCAUGUACCUGCCAGUCUCAGCUUGUGUCCACCUCUCAGCAUGUCCACGGACUUCCUGUGGGUGCUGGCCUCUCUGCUGGGCCAGCUUUGAGGGAAGGGCCCUGGGGCUAGGUGGUGAGAAGGAGUUGGUACAAACUGAUAGCGGGGGUGAAAACCUAAAAAGCUGCACAAAUAUUCUGGAACUUUCAGUGUGUGAAUCUAAGGAGACACAUUUAUGACUUACUUGAAGAUUCCCUGGAGGAGGAAAUGGCAACCCACUCCAGUACUCUUGCCUGCAAAAUCCCAUGGACAGAGGAGCCUGGCAGGCUACAGUCCAUGGGGUCGCAAGAGUUGGACAUGACUGAGCACACACACUAUAUCACACUAUAAAUUAAAAAAAAAAAAAAAAAGAUGAGGUGAUACUUGGUGAAAAUGUUAUAAAAUAUUCAUAUUUUAUAGCUAAAUAAGAUAGAUAAAUAUGUGUUUCUCUUAUCAGGAGCUAGCCUUAGGUGUAAUUAAGCAUGAUUAAAGGGAAAGCUCAGCACUGGUGUAUAUUUGACCUAUGUUUAAUACAUUAGUCAUAAAAUACUUCAAUCUUCUUGUGAGACCAGUUGUGUUAUUAGUUGCGUUUUUGUUGUCCCUCCUGAGUCCCUGUCUUCAUGCAAACACACUGAAGACACUCCAUGCACUGAACAGGAAGAGGAAAUGUCACACGAUUCUCUUUUAAAGCAGGAAGUAAAGUGCCUUUUCCCCUUUGAACAUUGAGGCAGAGCAGUGCUUGCGAAGCUAUCUGUGGUGAGUGUGGUGAUGGACCCGUGUUUUGAAUUUCCCAUUCUUGGCAGACAGGCACUUUUGUAAAAGUAAAAUGUUGCACUGAGAUCGGAUUGCUAUAAGAGUUUCUCAACACUUGCUCUCAGUUCCUGUACACAUUCUUGCAGACAAGCAGAAAGAGCUUGCAAUGUGGCACUGGUCUAUAGAGCGCACUAAAACAGGAGUUUCAGGCAAGAAUCAAUAUAUUCCGAUGUUAUUUCUCUGGGAGUUUGGGAUUUUGCCAGCAUGAGAGGGCAGUGCUUUUGUUUUGUUUUGCUAUUGGGCCAACCAAGGCCAUGGUGUGGAGUUGUCUGGUGUGUGCCUUGCUCGGGACACCUGACUGAAGAGGUGCGUGGGGGCUGGGGUCUCUCUUCUGAGUCAUGACCCUCUGUUUGGCAGAGCUCCUUGGAUCAGUCAUCAGACAGUCCCAGUUACAUUUGCUACUUUUUGAGAAGGGUUCCAUGGGUUUCUACCUUCUCUCAGCAGAAAUUAGCAAGAACCUCCUUUUGAUUUCAGUUCUUUAUGCUUAACAAGAAUCUUCACAUUUCUUUCUUUACUGGAUCUUAAGCUCCUGUGGGAAGGAGUGUGGAUCUUACAUCACCGUGACUAGACCAGUGCUCAGACUAAUAGCAAAUGAAUUCCAAAUCACAAGUUGGUAAUGAAAGCCACGUGCAGAUGUUAACCUUCUUAAAGAAGCAAAGAAUCAUAGUGUGAUGAUUUCCUUCCUUCCUUCCUUUUUUAUUGAUCCAAAACUUGAAGAGACCAAGUUUUUAGAUGGAGUCUUGGGGAGAGAAGCUUCCUGAAUUUAAUGAUACCUCAACAUAUUCAUCAAGUCAGAGUGACCUAUGAAAUGGCCACAAUAGACGUAAGAGGUCAAAUCAAGUAUGGCUAAUGUUUUAUCUGCAGUGAAGUUAAAAUUAACCAACAACAUCUAGUUCAUCGAGAAACAGGUUCUUAAACAAAUAUGGCUCAUGAAAGAACAUUAUUUAUUGGGGUCAUGGACUCCUAAGAGUGAACAGAACCUUAAGAUGUCCGGAGAAUACACAUCUCAUGUUCCCUCUGCUGUGGAAGAGGACUGACCACAGCCCAGACUCUGCAGAGCCUCCAGGCAGGUCCCAGGUAGGAGGCAGCCAGGUAGGGUGGGGCUGGUGUGGCAAAUAGGGCACAAGGGCAUAGCAGCCUGAAUCCACAAAGCCGUGGCAGGUACGCCGGAGCCCAGCUCGGGUGUUUGUCAAAGUUAGAAGCUGAAGGAUGCACCCCUCAGCGUGCAUGACUGAAAUCAGGAAAAAUGAAGGCCUGGAAGCUUAUCACCAGCACAGAGCCAAUAGCUUCUGGUGGCAAAUGGGAUAGGAGAGAGUUCUCAAACAUCAGGUGGCUUGUAAGGGCUCUUCUCCACCAGACACAUCCAUUUUGCGCCUUGGUUACUGAGGGUCUUCAUGCAUCUGAAAGACACUGUGCUCGGCCUUCACAGGCCCCAUGGAUGGCAAGCUAAUGAGGGCACAGGUUCAAUGUCUAUAAUAGGGAAGAGAUUUGAGCACAUCCGUGAAUUUCAAUUCUGUAUGGGGUGUUAGUGCGAAUGACAAAUGUUUAUAAGCUUCAGUUGCUGUUUUAUGAUUAAUAUGAAAUACUGCCCAAGCCUCAGUCCUGCCAGAAAUGCAAGAAAUAUUUUCUAACAUAUUCUGGGUUCUGUUCCAGCUGUUUGGUGGUAAGGACAGAAAACCACUUAAGUCAGUUUGAUAAGGAGAAUCCCACAGACCAACAGGGCAGGAAGUACGGCCAGUCCUCCUGGAAGGCGCGCCUGGGGCCUGAGAGCCAAGAAUUAGAGUUUCCAGCUGCAUCUCUCAUGAGUCACGGAGAGAUGGUCUCAUCGCUCCCGAUUUCCCGCCUCACUCUGACUGGUGGCCUUUUAAGACGAGGAAGAGGAGAGCAGCCAAGACGGUGGAACAGAAAGACCUUGAGCUCACCUCCUCUCACAAGCACACCACAAUCACAACUGAGAACAACCACUGAUGAAGGGCCUCCCAGAGAAGAUCUUCUACAAUUAAAGACAUAAAGAAGGAACCACAGUGAGAGAGCUGUUUCUGUAUUCCAAAAAUUAUAAGAUGCUGGUGGAAGAAAUUGAAGACAACACAAACAGAUGGAAAGACUCAUCAUGUUCUUGCAUUAUAAGAAUCAGUACUGUUGAAAUGACCACACUACCCAAGGUAAUCUACAGAUUCAAUGCAAACCUAUCAAAUUACCAAUGGCAGUUUUCACAGAACUAGAGCAAAAACUUUUAAAAUUUGUAUGGAAACACCAAAUAACCAAACAAUCUUGAGAAAGAAGGACAGAACUGGAGGAAUCAUGUGCCCUGACUUUAGACAAGACCACAAAACUGUAGUAAUCAAAGCAGAAUGGUACUGGCACAAAAACAGACCCUAGAUCAAUGGACUGGGACAGAAAAUGGAGAAAGAAGCCCACACACUUAAUGAUCAAUCAAUCUAUGAUGAAGGGGGCAAGAAAACACAAUGGAGAAAAGACAAUCUAAUAAGUGGCUCUGGGAAAACUGGACAGUUUCAUGUAAAAGAAUGAAAUUAGGACAUUCUCUAACACCAUAUACAAAAAUAAACUGAAAAUGAUUAAAGGCCUAAGUGUAAGACCAUAUAUCUUGUGACUCUUAUAAGGGUGCUUACUAAUCUCAUUCAUGAGGGCUCCACCCUCCUGACC
This is a long non-coding RNA of Bubalus bubalis (water buffalo), 4273 nucleotides long. RefSeq lists it as uncharacterized. The transcript has 3 exons. NCBI's taxonomy places the organism in Eukaryota, Metazoa, Chordata, Mammalia, Artiodactyla, Bovidae. The record is from RefSeq and is a predicted model, not a curated record.